UCGAUAAGCGCUGAAAGCAUCUAAGCGCGAAGCGAGCCCUGAGAUGAGUCUUCCCUGGCACUUUAAGUGUCCUAAAGGGUUGUUCGAGACUAGAACGUUGAUAGGCAGGGUGUGUAAGUGCUGCGAGGCAUUGAGCUAACCUGUACUAAUUGCCCGUGAGGCUUAACCAU
This 170-nucleotide ribosomal RNA is filed under the name Vibrio ulleungensis. RNAcentral's name for it is "Vibrio sp. 188UL20-2 partial 23S ribosomal RNA". It matches the Rfam family "Bacterial large subunit ribosomal RNA", at positions 2761 to 2925 of the family's 2925-position model. The record is from RNAcentral. Lineage: Bacteria; Pseudomonadati; Pseudomonadota; Gammaproteobacteria; Vibrionales; Vibrionaceae.